GGGAGAGUUCACAUCAUGAUCAGGGAAAUAAUCAAUAAAUAGACUAGAAAUUAACAUACUGCAUAAAAACUAAUAACAGGAUGGGAACCAUUAAUCGCAUAUAAUGCCAGUGUUAUUGAUGCCAUAAUGAGAUUGACCUCCACAACCAAAAAUAAGUUCAAAAAUCAAAGAAAACCUGCUUUUAAUGGACAUGCCCUGCAAACAAGCUAUGCAGGGUUUGUGUAUACCUGUUUAUCUAAAUAAUAUUAUGAGUCGUCACAACACAAGUUGUUUUCAAUUUUUUUUAACCCCCUUCCGUUCCCACAAUUGUAAUUCUUCACACUUUGAAUCCAAAGAACACAAAUAU
RNAcentral lists this unclassified non-coding RNA (346 nucleotides) under Hevea brasiliensis (rubber tree). Lineage: Eukaryota; Viridiplantae; Streptophyta; Magnoliopsida; Malpighiales; Euphorbiaceae. The record is from RNAcentral.